This 774-nucleotide ribosomal RNA is filed under the name uncultured bacterium. Its description in RNAcentral is "bacterial SSU rRNA". It matches the Rfam family "Bacterial small subunit ribosomal RNA", at positions 8 to 796 of the family's 1533-position model. The record is from RNAcentral.
AGAGUUUGAUCCUGGCUCAGGACGAACGCUGGCGGCGUGCUUAACACAUGCAAGUCGAGCGGUAAGGCCCUUUCGGGGGUACACGAGCGGCGAACGGGUGAGUAACACGUGGGUGACCUGCCCUCCACUCUGGGAUAAGCCCGGGAAACUGGGUCUAAUACCGGAUAGGACCACUGAUCGCAUGGUUGGUGGUGGAAAGUUUUUUCGGUGGGGGAUGGGCCCGCGGCCUAUCAGCUUGUUGGUGGGGUGAUGGCCUACCAAGGCGGUGACGGGUAGCCGGCCUGAGAGGGCGACCGGCCACACUGGGACUGAGACACGGCCCAGACUCCUACGGGAGGCAGCAGUGGGGAAUAUUGCGCAAUGGGCGGAAGCCUGACGCAGCGACGCCGCGUGGGGGAUGACGGCCUUCGGGUUGUAAACCUCUUUCGCCAGGGACGAAGAGCAAUUGACGGUACCUGGAGAAGAAGCACCGGCCAACUACGUGCCAGCAGCCGCGGUAACACGUAGGGUGCGAGCGUUGUCCGGAAUUAUUGGGCGUAAAGAGCUCGUAGGCGGUGUGUCGCGUCGGCCGUGAAAACUUGGGGCUUAACUCUGAGCGUGCGGUCGAUACGGGCAUCACUUGAGUCCGGCAGGGGAGACUGGAAUUCCUGGUGUAGCGGUGAAAUGCGCAGAUAUCAGGAGGAACACCGGUGGCGAAGGCGGGUCUCUGGGCAGUAACUGACGCUGAGGAGCGAAAGCGUGGGGAGCGAACAGGAUUAGAUACCCUGGUAGUCC